AAUUCUCAACCUUCAACACUUUUGUGAAGAAGGCUUGGACUUGGAGGCCGUGUUGGCUGGCAACAGUCGACUCCUCUGAAAUGUAUUAGUUGCGAACCUUACGGAUCGCUUCGGUGUGAUAAUUGUCUACGCCGUGGUGUUGAAGUAUAGCAGUGUUCGAGCUUCUAACAGUCCGCAAGGACAAUUUUUUGACA
RNAcentral lists this unclassified non-coding RNA (194 nucleotides) under Mycoacia fuscoatra. RNAcentral's name for it is "partial internal transcribed spacer 2". The record is from RNAcentral. Lineage: Eukaryota; Fungi; Basidiomycota; Agaricomycetes; Polyporales; Meruliaceae.